UACGUAGGGGGCAAGCGUUGUCCGGGAUGAUUGGGCGUAAAGGGCGCGUAGGCGGAUACAUAAGUCGGGUGUGAAAGGCGCGGGCUCAACCCGUGUAAGCAUUCGAAACGGUGUAUCUUGAGUGCAGUAGAGGAAAGCGGAAUUUCUGGUGUAGCGGUGGAAUGCGUAGAUAUCAGAAGGAACACCAGUGGCGAAGGCGGCUUUCUGGACUGCUACUGACGCUGAGGCGCGAAGGCGUGGGGAGCAAACAGG
RNAcentral lists this ribosomal RNA (252 nucleotides) under uncultured bacterium. Its description in RNAcentral is "partial 16S ribosomal RNA". It matches the Rfam family "Bacterial small subunit ribosomal RNA", at positions 524 to 776 of the family's 1533-position model. The record is from RNAcentral.